Long non-coding RNA from Trifolium pratense (red clover), 1732 nucleotides. RefSeq lists it as uncharacterized. The record is from RefSeq and is a predicted model, not a curated record. The transcript has 2 exons. Lineage: Eukaryota; Viridiplantae; Streptophyta; Magnoliopsida; Fabales; Fabaceae.
AAUGUGCUCGUUGAGUACUAAUUUUACGUGCAUCUGGAGGAAAAAAUUAUGUCUCGACUGGAUAAAGUAGAUAUGAUAAACAAUUUAAAAACUUGUGAGUAUUUUCAAAAUACCUACAUUAAUGUAGUAUUUCUAUGAAAUAUUAGUUUAUUUUAUAUGCAAAAAUCUGUUUAAUAUUUGGUGGCAUCUAAGGUGAGGGAACAAUUAAUUAUCCCUCACCGGUGUAAAUAAAAUAGUAACACGUAUUCCUUCUCCACCCGAUCCUUAUAUAGUCGAAUUUGUGCUCUCGCACAUUAACUUAAACUAUGGUUCUUAAGUCUUAUGUGGCUUUGGAUUAACUGAAUCUUCGAUGUUAAGCAUCCCGACUCAAGAUUAACUUAAACUGGAGUUCUUAAGUCUUAUGUUGCCUUUUGUUUUUUAAGAGAGCAAUGUUAAACCAAAAAUAUCUUUUAAAGAUCAAAAUACUAAUUAAUAUUUUUUUGUUUUUUGGUAAGUAUUUCUCUCUCACUAAUUUCACUUCCCUCCUCUUACUCUGGUAUAUAACUUCCCACGUGUCCUCAUUUUCCAGUUAAAAUUUAUCCCAAAUCAACUUCAGUUCCUCAUUCAUCUUAACCCUAAAUUGAGAAUGGCUUAAAUACUUUACCUCCUCACUGCAACAACCACCUACAUAUGACGACUUCUCUUCUUCGUCACACCACGUACGCGUGUGUUCUCGUCUUCUCCGCACCACAACGACGCUGAGUUCAAUAAGUGGUGAAGAUAAAAUCGCUCAGUUAAAUUAGAAUCUGGUUGAAGGAGUAACUGGAAAUGGCGUCGUCUUGCAAGAGUGGCAAUGUUUCAAGAGAGAGUUGGAUCUGAUACUCAAACAUGGAUUGCCAUUGUUACUCUGUUUCAAAUAUCAAGGUUUCUAUGAGUAAGCAAAACCCAAAUCGAUCGUUUUAUUCAUGUAAGCAAAAUAAAUGCAAAUGGAUGGGUUGGUGUGAACCAAUGGCAGAUGAUGUUGAUGAAAAAAAAGAGUAGAAACUAUUGAUCCUUAUGGAGAUGCAAGAAUGAGUAUUUUGGAAGACGAAGUUAACAAGCUACAAAAUUUAGUUGAGGGAUUGGCUGAAGCAAUACAAGGGAGGUUGCUACUGUGAAAUAUGAAUUUCACAAUAGUAUCAUUGAUAUGAAGAAUAAUGUGGAUGACAAUUUGUUUGUCUUGAAAAAUGACUUUGAUAAGGAACUUUUAACAUUGAAGACAGAAUUGAAAGAAAUGAAGCAAACAUGUGGAAAUCUGAAGUUUGGAAUGUUCGGAUUUAUGUUUGUCAUGGUUUUGGUUUUGAUCAGCAAACACAUAUGAAGAACACAAUGAACAUGAACCCAAAUGGUGGUGGAGGUUGAAGGAAGAUGUUAAUUAUUUGUUUAAUAUAGUAAUUAAUAUAUGAUUAGUUUUUUUUAUUUUUUAAAAGUCAAUAUUAGCUUAUGUUGAGUUGAAUGAUGUCUGUGUGUUUGAAAUUAAAUUCAACGAUGGCAGUGUAAGGUAGCCUAGCCACUUAGCUACUAUUGAGACUUGGUGUGACUGCACGCUACAGUGAUUGUUGCACGCUACAGUAGUGGCUGCACUCUACAGUGACAACUGUAAUUUGUGUCCUUUGUAUUAAGAAAUGUCUCUUUCAUGUAGUAUUUUAGUUGUCCUUGUGUAUUGCUUUUAGCACGUUUGUGCAGUAGUAAUGUGAAAUGAAAUUUAACUUUA